UGAGGAAUAUUGGGCAAUGCCCGCAAGGGUGACCCAGCAACGCCGCGUGGAGGAUGAAUGUCGUAAGAUUGUAAACUCCUGUUAGAGGGGAAGAAUAGUACCGGUUGGACCGGUAUAUGACUGUACCCUCAGAGAAAGCCCCGGCUAACUACGUGCCAGCAGCCGCGGUAAUACGUAGGGGGCAAGCGUUGUCCGGAUUUACUGGGUGUAAAGGGCGCGCAGGCGGGAUAAAAAGUCAGUGGUGAAAUCCUACAGCUUAACUGUAGAACUGCCUUUGAUACUUUUAUUCUUGAGUUCGGGAGAGAGAGACGGAAUUCCAGGUGUAGUGGUGAAAUACGUAGAUAUCUGGAAGAACACCAGUUGCGAAGGCGGUCUCUUGGUCCGACACUGACGCUGAGGCGCGAAAGCGUGGGGAGCAAAC
This 421-nucleotide ribosomal RNA is filed under the name uncultured bacterium. Its description in RNAcentral is "bacterial SSU rRNA". It matches the Rfam family "Bacterial small subunit ribosomal RNA", at positions 355 to 773 of the family's 1533-position model. The record is from RNAcentral.